UGGGCAACCUGCCCCUAGCACUGGGAUAACCCCGGGAAACCGGGGCUAAUACCGGAUAUGACCUCGGAGGGCAUCUUCUGAGGUGGAAAUGUUCCGGCGGCUAGGGAUGGGCCCGCGGCCUAUCAGCUUGUUGGUGGGGUGAUGGCCUACCAAGGCGACGACGGGUAGCCGGCCUGAGAGGGCGACCGGCCACACUGGGACUGAGACACGGCCCAGACUCCUACGGGAGGCA
RNAcentral lists this ribosomal RNA (232 nucleotides) under uncultured bacterium. RNAcentral describes it as "partial 16S ribosomal RNA". It matches the Rfam family "Bacterial small subunit ribosomal RNA", at positions 118 to 350 of the family's 1533-position model. The record is from RNAcentral.